ACUUACGGCCAUACCACUAUGAAAACGCCCGAUCUCGUCUGAUCUCGGAAGCUAAGCAGAGUCGGGCCUGGUUAGUACUUGGAUGGGAGANNGCCUGGGAAUACCAGGUGCUGUAAGCCG
RNAcentral lists this ribosomal RNA (120 nucleotides) under Porichthys plectrodon (Atlantic midshipman). Lineage: Eukaryota; Metazoa; Chordata; Actinopteri; Batrachoidiformes; Batrachoididae. The record is from RNAcentral.